RNAcentral lists this ribosomal RNA (447 nucleotides) under uncultured bacterium. RNAcentral's name for it is "bacterial SSU rRNA". It matches the Rfam family "Bacterial small subunit ribosomal RNA", at positions 330 to 794 of the family's 1533-position model. The record is from RNAcentral.
UCCAGACUCCUACGGGAGGCAGCAGUGAGGAAUAUUGGGCAAUGGAGGCAACUCUGACCCAGCCAUGCCGCGUGAGUGAAGAAGGUUUUCGGAUUGUAAAGCUCUUUCGGAUGUGACGAUGAUGACGGUAGCAUCUAAAGAAGCCCCGGCUAAUUCCGUGCCAGCAGCCGCGGUAAUACGGAAGGUCCGGGCGUUAUCCGGAUUUAUUGGGUUUAAAGGGAGCGUAGGCCGGCUUUUAAGUCAGCUGUGAAAGUCCGCGGCUCAACCGUGGAAUUGCAGUUGAAACUGGAGGCCUUGAGUGCACACAGGGAUGCCGGAAUUCAUGGUGUAGCGGUGAAAUGCUUAGAUAUCAUGAAGAACUCCGAUCGCGAAGGCAAGUGUCCGGGGUGCAACUGACGCUGAGGCUCGAAAGUGCGGGUAUCAAACAGGAUUAGAUACCCGAGUAUG